Molecule: ribosomal RNA, 510 nt
Filed under: Theodoxus doriae
Lineage: Eukaryota; Metazoa; Mollusca; Gastropoda; Cycloneritida; Neritidae
Also listed under: 1 other name
Description: partial large subunit ribosomal RNA
Rfam family: Bacterial large subunit ribosomal RNA
Source: RNAcentral
GUCUCUUAGAAACUAUUAAGAGUCAGGCCUGCCCAGUGAUUGCUUUUUUAACGGCCGCGGUACCCUGACCGUGCAAAGGUAGCAUAAUCAUUUGCCUUUUAAUUGGAGGCUGGUAUGAACGGUUUGACGAGAGUAAAGCUGUCUCACACACAUUAAAUAGAAACUAAUUUAAAGGUGCAAAAGCCUUUAUAAAACAAAAAGACGAGAAGACCCUGUUGAGCUUUAAUUUUAAUGAGCACCAACUUUAUAUUAAUAUAAUUAUUUGCUCAAUAAAAAUUUUAAUUGGGGCGAUUAAGGAACACAAUAAAGCUUCCUGAUUUUAACAUUAAAUAUCCAUAAAUUAAAUCGAUCCAGCAAUGCUGAUCAACAAAACGAGUUACCACAGGGAUAACAGCAUAAUUCUUUUUCAGAGCUCAUAUCGAAAAAAGAGAUUGUGACCUCGAUGUUGGACUAGGGUAACAAGAAGGUGGAGCAGCUUUCUUGCUUGGUCUGUUCGACCAGUAAUUCCCU